This 376-nucleotide long non-coding RNA is filed under the name Salvia miltiorrhiza (redroot sage). RNAcentral describes it as "long non-coding RNA (SMIL_LNC007846)". Lineage: Eukaryota; Viridiplantae; Streptophyta; Magnoliopsida; Lamiales; Lamiaceae. The record is from RNAcentral.
AUUUUCUUUGUAUGGAGUAGGAAACAUUGGAUUCUUACAGUUGUUGAUCCUCACAAAGAAAUAAUAUAUAAUUUGGACCCGAUUAGUCAUCAGCACAUUGAUGAUAGUUGGAAAACUAUUGUCAACACGUAAGAUUUAAAUAUUUUUCGUGAUGCGUUACAUGAAAGAAAUUAUUGAAGAGCUUAUGAGGAAUGGUCGCAUUUGCCUACAUCCACAUGUAAGUAAUUUGACUUAAAUCUCCAUUAUACAUAUUUCAUAUUAAACAAUAGUUUAUCUUUUAUAUAGUUUGACAAUCGGAGUUAUACUAAAGAGGAUAUUGAUGAAGUUCGUGUUGAGUGGACGAAUCUCAUUCUUAGUUACAUAUAAAAAGUAGAGG